Long non-coding RNA from Helicoverpa zea (corn earworm), 579 nucleotides. RefSeq lists it as uncharacterized. NCBI's taxonomy places the organism in Eukaryota, Metazoa, Arthropoda, Insecta, Lepidoptera, Noctuidae. The transcript has 3 exons. The record is from RefSeq and is a predicted model, not a curated record.
UCUGCUGUAUUUUGGUUCACAACAAGUUUUGUUUUGGAUUUAAAAACUUCUUUAAAAUGGCUCCAUAUACGGGGUUCGGCAAAUCCUCAACAAAUCGAAACCGUUCUCAAUUUCCUGGACGAACAUAGAGAUUUAGCUCGCGGGAGAUUGAAUAGUUGAACCCAGCCAGGAAGAUAACCUGAGAGUCCAGCUGUAAAAGCUGCCUAAGUACCACCACCAUUGACACAAAAAUGCCGACUUUCACACCUUCCUCUCGACAUACACACUCUACAAGGAGACUGCCUACUACUAGGAGAUUACAGAGGAUGUGCCAGCACAGGUGUAAGAAGCAGAUUGUAUCAAUAUGAAGAGGAGCGUGCACAGAGAGAGACGGUGCAAAACGCAGAGCUUGCAGGCAUCAGGGGUGAAUUGGCAGGCAUCAGUCCUACCCUGUUGCAGCUGCAUAACACAAUAAGGGAAUAUGUGGAUAGGAAUUAAGAUUUUGUUAGUGUUUUGUUAGUCAUUAAUUGUGUUUAAUAUUUCUUUGUUAUUAAUUUGUAAUGUUUAAACAGGGUAAUAGUAAAUAAAACUUUAAGCAUA